AAUGAUUGCCUUAGUACGGCGAGUGAAGCGGCAAAAGCUCAAAUUUGAAAUCUAGCACUUUCAGUGUUCGAGUUGUAAUUUGAAGAAGGUAACUUUGGAAUUGGCUCUUGUCUAUGUUCCUUGGAACAGGACGUCACAGAGGGUGAGAAUCCCGUGCGAUGAGAUGUCCAAUUCUAUGUAAAGUGCUUUCGAAGAGUCGAGUUGUUUGGGAAUGCAGCUCUAAGUGGGUGGUAAAUUCCAUCUAAAGCUAAAUAUUGGCGAGAGACCGAUAGCGAACAAGUACAGUGAUGGAAAGAUGAAAAGAACUUUGAAAAGAGAGUGAAAAAGUACGUGAAAUUGUUGAAAGGGAAGGGCUUGAGAUCAGACUUGGUAUUUUGUGUUCCUUAUCCUUCUUGGAUUAGGUUCCUCACAGCUUACCGGGCCAGCAUCGGUUUGGAUGGCAGGAUAAUGACAUUGGAAUGUAGCUUUGCUUCGGUGAAGUGUUAUAGACUUUGUUGAUACUGCCUAUCUAGACCGAGGACUGCGUCUUUGACUAGGAUGCUGGCGUAAUGAUCUUAAGCCGCCCGUCUUGAA
RNAcentral lists this ribosomal RNA (573 nucleotides) under Dujonia oleophila. RNAcentral describes it as "eukaryotic LSU rRNA". It matches the Rfam family "Eukaryotic large subunit ribosomal RNA", at positions 70 to 658 of the family's 3401-position model. Lineage: Eukaryota; Fungi; Ascomycota; Pichiomycetes; Serinales; Debaryomycetaceae. The record is from RNAcentral.